RNAcentral lists this ribosomal RNA (704 nucleotides) under uncultured Eubacteriales bacterium. RNAcentral describes it as "bacterial SSU rRNA". It matches the Rfam family "Bacterial small subunit ribosomal RNA", at positions 62 to 769 of the family's 1533-position model. The record is from RNAcentral. Lineage: Bacteria; Bacillati; Bacillota; Clostridia; Eubacteriales.
UCGAACGAUGAAGAUUAUUAGACUUCUUCGGAAUGAAAAUAAUUGGAUUAGUGGCGGACGGGUGAGUAACACGUGAGUAACCUGCCUUACACAAGGGGAUAGCCGUUGGAAACGACGAAUAAUACCCUAUGAAACUAUCACUUCGCAUGAAGCGAUAGUCAAAGUGUUAGCGGUGUAAGAUGGACUUGCGUCUGAUUAGCUAGUUGGUGAGAAAAAAGCCCACCAAGGCAACGAUCAGUAGCCGGCUUGAGAGAGUGUACGGCCACAUUGGGACUGAGACACGGCCCAGACUCCUACGGGAGGCAGCAGUGGGGAAUUUUGCACAAUGGGGGAAACCCUGAUGCAGCGACGCCGCGUGAUUUAGAAGGCCUUCGGGUUGUAAAAAUCUUUUGUAUAGGAAGAAAAUGACAGUACUAUACGAAUAAGGUCCGGCUAAUUACGUGCCAGCAGCCGCGGUAAUACGUAAGGACCGAGCGUUGUCCGGAAUCAUUGGGCGUAAAGGGUACGUAGGCGGGUCACUAAGUUAGAAGUCAAAGGCUAUAGCUCAACUAUAGUAAGCUUCUAAAACUGGAGACCUUGAGUAAUGGAAGGGAAAGUGGAAUUCCUAGUGUAGCGGUGGAAUGCGCAGAUAUUAGGAGGAAUACCGGUGGCGAAGGCGACUUUCUGGCCAUUAACUGACGCUGAGGUACGAAAGCGUGGGUAGC